RNAcentral lists this ribosomal RNA (492 nucleotides) under uncultured bacterium. Its description in RNAcentral is "partial 16S ribosomal RNA". It matches the Rfam family "Bacterial small subunit ribosomal RNA", at positions 29 to 507 of the family's 1533-position model. The record is from RNAcentral.
AGUGAACGCUGGCGGUAGGCCUAACACAUGCAAGUCGAACGGCAGCACAAUAAGAGCUUGCUCUUACGGGUGGCGAGUGGCGGACGGGUGAGGAAUACAUCGGAAUCUACUUUUUCGUGGGGGGUAACGUAGGGAAACUUACGCUAAUACCGCGUACGACCUACGGGUGAAAGCAGGGGAUCUUCGGACCUUGCGCGAUUGAAUGAGCCGAUGUCGGAUUAGCUAGUUGGCGGGGUAAAGGCCCACCAAGGCGACGAUCCGUAGCUGGUCUGAGAGGAUGAUCAGCCACACUGGAACUGAGACACGGUCCAGACUCCUACGGGAGGCAGCAGUGGGGAAUAUUGGACAAUGGGCGCAAGCCUGAUCCAGCCAUACCGCGUGGGUGAAGAAGGCCUUCGGGUUGUAAAGCCCUUUUGUUGGGAAAGAAAAGCAGCAGGUUAAUACCCCGCUGUUCUGACGGUACCCAAAGAAUAAGCACCGGCUAACUUCGUG